CCACCAUCUAGGACACUACCAUCAAAAUUUACCUUAAGAAAGUUUAGAGGUGAAGGCUCCUAGGAGAUGUAAUUCAUCCUAUGUGCUGCAAGAGCUGACAAGGGGCCUUAAGUGUCCUGAGCUAUCAUAAGCUCUCCAAUGGUAUGCACACCAACAAGGAUAGUUUGAUGCCUCACUCUCUCCAAAGUCAACCUAAGAGAUGGACUAUUAUUCUCAAAAAUCUGUGUUCUUAGUCAACCAAAUCUAAUAUACAAUAUACACCUUUAGGAUAGCAGUUGGUCAUGAUAUUCAUCUACCUGCACCAUCUCUAAACAAAACAAAAAAGAUCUCGAUUGGAGAAUUUGAUCACCACAGAUUCUAGACAUCCGCAGUGAGCAUCCAAACCUGCCUGGCUCGACUGAACUAAAACAACGUAUGGUCAAUAAACUCCUCCAACGGACACUAUGGGCAAGUCAGAGAGAUGAUCAUCUCCCACCAACUCAAGGCCCCUUAGUGGGGAGCCACUCCCAGGCUAUCUUCCAGAGGAAUAGGAUGACCUUCGAAUGCAUGUCAAGUCUCCAGAUCUAUAUUAAGUCCCUCAUCAGAGUCAGCUCACCUCUGAAGAGUGUAUAAAGUUCUUGCACUAUCACUCUUCAACUAUAGGACUUCUACAAUCUCACAUCAGGAAUGUCAUGCCCGGAGAUCAUAAGUGUCUGAACCCUCAUCGUCAGAUGCUCUCCAAAUAAUUACACCACUAGGGUAGAAUUCCACAUUCUCUCUUCUAAUAGGAGUAAAUCAGCAACAUGCUCCACUACUGCUCCACAUCCAUAAAGGUCGGCCACUGACAAAAUGGAAGGUAAGACAGCCAUCUAUCAGCCAUGACAUCCACACUCCGACUAUCACCUAUCAAUUACCUCAUGUUUACCAAUGCAAUAGAGCCAUGAGAGCAGAUCUCUCUCCAAAUAUACGAGCUACAUCAGCUAGCCCAAGUAUCCAUCUCAAUGGGCCAUGGGCCAUACUUCUCCUUCAUCACUAUGCUUCAUAGGCUCUUCAGCUUUAGAAGGUACCUCACAAUAUACUUAGCAAUUGAGGCCUCUCUUUUUACCACCGGGGACUAAAUACCAAGACUACCCUCUUGCAACGGCCG
This 1126-nucleotide long non-coding RNA is filed under the name Elaeis guineensis (African oil palm). Its description in RNAcentral is "long non-coding RNA (EGUI_LNC023260)". The record is from RNAcentral. Lineage: Eukaryota; Viridiplantae; Streptophyta; Magnoliopsida; Arecales; Arecaceae.